CCCAUGUCUCAAAUUUAUAAAGUAUAUACAUACAUAUAAGUUACAUAUACGAUAUACGAUUAUUAAAAACGUCGAUUAGUAACAUCCCAAUUCUUAAAACACAAAUCCAUAAACGAAAUCCACACGAUUACACAUCCGGUCGAUCCUGAGCGGCAAACAAGUUAAUCCAACGGCUGCGAGUUGCUUUGUUCUGUGUACGGUCUAACAAACGUCCUACGCCACCAAACCUCGAAUGCUUUUUGAAGAUUCGGGCAGUUAUCACCCGCUUUCAAGAAACUACUCAACCACCCGAGCAUAACAAUCUGCUGAUCCUCGAGUGGGAGUGUUAAUAUAGUCCUCCCGAUCCCUUCCUCCACAACCUUUCGAUCAAACGACUUGCACCCGUGUUGUAGCCAGCUGUAAUCGUCAAUCAAAGGCUGUAACCAGGUCUUUAACAACAAAUGACGGGUGUCUUUACUCGAUAAAAUUUCGCCUCUUCCUAUCCCAACAAAUAACCUUGCGGUUAUACAGCUAAUGUGGUGGCGGUUCACUAUUGGGACACGAGGGUGUAGCCCGGCUAGCUCUUGCUGGCUAGCCCACAUGACGGCAUACUCGUCGGCUGCGUGUCUAUCGGCUAAUAUAUCAAGUAACCAUGAAAGGUUAUCGGCUUCUAAAACCAUUUGUUUGACCACGGGGUCUUUGACCUCAAUUGGUUGUUGUGUAAACUCGGGUUGGGCCACUUGUCGGAACAAAACCAACAACGAACCCAAACAGGUUGUACACGAGGCGUAAAUGGUGUCGUUACAUAUGUCAACCGAGGUUAACGAGCUCACGUUUGGACCAGACUUGUUAUUAUUUUCUCUCAAGAGUUUUAAGACGAUUGAUUUCAUUUCGCGGCGUCCUUUUUCUUCAUUGCUUUUGAGGACAAGUUGGAGGACAUGAGAGAGGGUGUCUUUAGCGGGGGUUUUGGUAGGUGGGGAUGAUGAUGAUCUUGGUUUGUUUAAAGGGUGUUGUGUUUUUAGGGUUUUUUGAAACAUAACAGGUGAAGGACAACACCAGAAUCCUUCAGGGGUUACUGCAAUUGGUACAUUUCUGAUCUUUGUUUGCCCUUGUUCCACCUUUUUAACUCUAGUUUCUGCCAUUUUAUGAAUCUUCAGACCUUAAUUAAUCCGAAAAGAUUAGAACCCACAAAAGUUUACAAGAAAUUUUCAGCAUUUCAAGACACUGAACGCAAAUUAACCUAAAAAGAUAGGAACCCACAAAAAAAUAUUAAGAAAUUUACAAGAUUUCAAGAAACUGAUUGCAAAUUAACCCAAAAAGAUAACAACUUUCUAACAAAUUUUCAACAUUUCAGGAAACUGAAUGCAAAUUAGCCCAAAAAGAUAGAAACCCACAAAAAAAUUCGAAGAAAUUUACAACAUUUCAAGAAAAUUAACCCACAAAGAUUUCCAAGAAAUUUACAACAUUUCAAGAAACUGAAUGCAAAUUAACCCAAAAAGAUAAGAACCCACAAAAAAUUUCAAGAAACUGAAUGCAAAACAAGACCUAAAAUGACAAGAAAGCAAGAAUGUGGAUCAAGAUUUGUGGGAACA
RNAcentral lists this long non-coding RNA (1571 nucleotides) under Helianthus annuus (common sunflower). RNAcentral describes it as "hypothetical non coding rna". Lineage: Eukaryota; Viridiplantae; Streptophyta; Magnoliopsida; Asterales; Asteraceae. The record is from RNAcentral.